This is a non-coding RNA of Meleagris gallopavo (turkey), 978 nucleotides long. NCBI's taxonomy places the organism in Eukaryota, Metazoa, Chordata, Aves, Galliformes, Phasianidae. The record is from RefSeq and is a predicted model, not a curated record.
UAGACAUAACAAAAAUGAGAAAGGAAGAGAUUUACAGCAGCAGAAACCCAUUGAGGUUUAGAUGAGCAAUGAAUGAACUUUCAGAUUGUUCAACUUUGCUUUUCUUAUUUUUCUCAGUAACUCUUACUGAGCUACUUGCCUGAGGCAGAGCAAAGGAGACCAAAACUAUGGGUCCAUGUGGGAAAGCCUGACAACAGAAACUUGGUGGACAUGAACUGUGAGCAUUAGAGAGGAAAAGUUUGGCAUAUAUGGAUGCUCAGCACUCUGACUGUUGCUAAGAGCAGCUCAACUAUUCUCCUGCUUAAGCUGAUUGCACCACGUCUCUGUUCCACAGCACGCUGCCUUGCUUCAUACACCUGCAGAGAUAAAGGCAGGGGAGGCUGUUCUAGAAGUCAACGAAGUGAAAUAAUUCUUGACACAAUCAUUCUUGAUGCUUGUAAUUCACAGAAAAGUCCUAUUUACUUGAAUAAUGCAGGAAUCAGGUAAGAAAUGGGAAUGUCUUUGUUCAGCACUUCACAUACCUUCCCACUCAGUCUUCAGCCUAUUUUCCUUUUUGCUUAGCUCUGUUCAAGCUUUCAGCUCAAGUGCUUACCUUGCAUUUGUACCUUUCUGUCUUUUUCCUGCUUCAUCACUGGUAUUUUCUUUUGCUCCUUUUACUACUUAGCUGUCUUUUCAAUUGUCUUUCACAAAAAUUGACAUGGAAAAAGAAAAGGCAGAGAAACUCCUCUACCUCAGACAGUUUUUCUCCUGAGAGUGAAGUGUACCAGUGAGAAGUCUGUUAUUGUUCCAGAUUAUCUGGCUCUACAGGAGAACUUAAUUGUUCCUUUUUAUGACUAUUUCAAGUGAAGGAUGUGCCAUACUGUUAUGACACAUAGAAGGUAAAGUCUAAAUCCAUAUAGUUUGCCUAAAAAAAAAAAUCGAAGGUGAAAAUAUACACCACUCUGCUCUGUGUAAGGGUUUGUUCCAAGACAGACAGUA